RNAcentral lists this long non-coding RNA (277 nucleotides) under Mytilus galloprovincialis (Mediterranean mussel). Lineage: Eukaryota; Metazoa; Mollusca; Bivalvia; Mytilida; Mytilidae. The record is from RNAcentral.
GCAUUUCAAACCUUAUCAGCAAUGCAGCAUCUGUAAGUAUGCAUGUUUAUAGAAUAAUAGUUGUGGUAUGAGUGCCUUUGAGACAACUCUCUAUCCAAGUCACAAGGUGUAAAAAUAUGAAUCAUUAUAAGUCAACGUAUGGCCUUCAACUCUGAGCCUUCGCUCACAUCGAACAGCAAACUGUGAACGACCCCAUAAUGACUAGUGUAAAACAAUUGAAACUGGAAAACAAAUGGUGUAAUCUUUAUAAAAAAGAAAGGAAAAACAAUUAUGAACC